AUUGAACGCUGGCGGCAUGCCUUACACAUGCAAGUCGAACGGCAGCACGGGAGCAAUCCUGGUGGCGAGUGGCGAACGGGUGAGUAAUAUAUCGGAACGUGCCCAGUCGUGGGGAUAACGUAGCGAAAGCUACGCUAAUACCGCAUACGAUCUAUGGAUGAAAGCGGGGGAUCGCAAGACCUCGCGCGAUUGGAGCGGCCGAUAUCAGAUUAGGUAGUUGGUGAGGUAAAGGCUCACCAAGCCGACGAUCUGUAGCUGGUCUGAGAGGACGACCAGCCACACUGGGACUGAGACACGGCCCAGACUCCUACGGGAGGCAGCAGUGGGGAAUUUUGGGACAAUGGGCGCAAGCCUGAUCCAGCAAUGCCGCGUGCAGGAUGAAGGCCUUCGGUUGUAACU
Molecule: ribosomal RNA, 399 nt
Filed under: uncultured bacterium
Lineage: Bacteria
Description: bacterial SSU rRNA
Rfam family: Bacterial small subunit ribosomal RNA
Source: RNAcentral